ACCUACGGGAGGCAGCAGUGAGGAAUAUUGGUCGAUUGUGGCGAGCCUGACCCAGCCAAGUCGCGUGAGGGAUGACGGCCCUACGGGUUGUAAACCUCUUUUGUCGGGGAGCAAAUUCCGCCACGUGUGGCGGAGUCGAGAGUACCCGAAGAAAAAGCAUCGGCUAACUCCGUGCCAGCAGCCGCGGUAAUACGGAGGAUGCGAGCGUUAUCCGGAUUUAUUGGGUUUAAAGGGUGCGUAGGCGGACUGUCAAGUCAGCGGUAAAAUACGGGGGCUCAACCUCCGCCCGCCGUUGAAACUGACGG
This 305-nucleotide ribosomal RNA is filed under the name uncultured bacterium. Its description in RNAcentral is "bacterial SSU rRNA". It matches the Rfam family "Bacterial small subunit ribosomal RNA", at positions 337 to 639 of the family's 1533-position model. The record is from RNAcentral.